RNAcentral lists this unclassified non-coding RNA (241 nucleotides) under uncultured fungus. RNAcentral's name for it is "sequence contains ITS1, 5.8S rRNA gene". The stretch from base 193 to 241 matches the Rfam family "5.8S ribosomal RNA", at positions 1 to 49 of the family's 154-position model. Lineage: Eukaryota; Fungi. The record is from RNAcentral.
UUUCCGUAGGUGAACCUGCGGAAGGAUCAUUACUGAGUUAGUGCCCUUCGGGGUAGACCUCCCACCCUUUGUAUACAUACCAUUGUUGCUUCGGCGGCUCGCCGCAAGGCCCUCGGCUUCUGCUGGGGCGUGGCCGCCGGAGGACCCCCAACCCUGAGUUACAGUGUCUUCCGAGUACUAUAUAAUAGUUAAAACUUUCAACAACGGAUCUCUUGGUUCUGGCAUCGAUGAAGAACGCAGC